This 603-nucleotide ribosomal RNA is filed under the name uncultured bacterium. Its description in RNAcentral is "bacterial SSU rRNA". It matches the Rfam family "Bacterial small subunit ribosomal RNA", at positions 96 to 715 of the family's 1533-position model. The record is from RNAcentral.
UGGCGGACGGGUGAGUAACGCGUGAGGAACCUGCCUUGAAGAGGGGGACAACAGUUGGAAACGACUGCUAAUACCGCAUGACGCAUAGAGGUCGCAUGAUCUUUAUGCCAAAGAUUUAUCGCUUCAAGAUGGCCUCGCGUCUGAUUAGCUAGUUGGCGGGGUAACGGCCCACCAAGGCGACGAUCAGUAGCCGGACUGAGAGGUUGAACGGCCACAUUGGGACUGAGAUACGGCCCAGACUCCUACGGGAGGCAGCAGUGGGGAAUAUUGGGCAAUGGGCGCAAGCCUGACCCAGCAACGCCGCGUGAAGGAAGAAGGCUUUCGGGUUGUAAACUUCUUUUAAGAGGGAAGAGCAGAAGACGGUACCUCUAGAAUAAGCCACGGCUAACUACGUGCCAGCAGCCGCGGUAAUACGUAGGUGGCAAGCGUUGUCCGGAUUUACUGGGUGUAAAGGGCGUGCAGCCGGGUCUGCAAGUCAGAUGUGAAAUCCAUGGGCUCAACCCAUGAACUGCAUUUGAAACUGUAGAUCUUGAGUGUCGGAGGGGCAAUCGGAAUUCCUAGUGUAGCGGUGAAAUGCGUAGAUAUUAGGAGGAACACCAGUGG